RNAcentral lists this transfer RNA (64 nucleotides) under Corynis lateralis. RNAcentral describes it as "tRNA-Asn". Lineage: Eukaryota; Metazoa; Arthropoda; Insecta; Hymenoptera; Cimbicidae. The record is from RNAcentral.
UUAAUUGAAGCCAAAAAGAGGCAUAUUACUGUUAAUAAUAGAAUUGAAAUAAUUUCCAAUUAAA